AGCUUUGCGCAGUGGCAGUAUCGUAGCCAAUGAGGUUUAUCCGAGGCGCGAUUAUUGCUAAUUGAAAACUUUUCCUAAUUUUGCCUUGGAAGAGUGCAGUUGGUUAUCUUUCUGGUAAUGCUGAAAAAUAGUUGUUU
Leopardus geoffroyi (Geoffroy's cat) is the source of this 137-nucleotide small nuclear RNA. RefSeq annotates it as U4 spliceosomal RNA. NCBI's taxonomy places the organism in Eukaryota, Metazoa, Chordata, Mammalia, Carnivora, Felidae. The record is from RefSeq and is a predicted model, not a curated record. The transcript has a single exon.